This 279-nucleotide ribosomal RNA is filed under the name uncultured bacterium. RNAcentral describes it as "partial 16S ribosomal RNA". The stretch from base 39 to 279 matches the Rfam family "Bacterial small subunit ribosomal RNA", at positions 556 to 794 of the family's 1533-position model. The record is from RNAcentral.
ACUACGAGGUGCACGACGGUAAUCGAACUUACGGUAGGGGCGGUAAAGCGCGCGUAGGUGGUUUGAUAAGUUGGAUGUGAAAGCCCCGGGCUCAACCUGGGAAUUGCAUCCAAAACUGUCUGACUAGAGUAUGGCAGAGGGGUGGUGGAAUUUCCUGUGUAGCGGUGAAGUGCGUAGAUAUAGGAAGGAACACCAGUGGCGAAGGCGACCACCUGGGCUAAAUACUGACACUGAGGUGCGAAAGCGUGGGGAGCGAACAGGAUUAGAUACCCCCGUAGU